AUAAAUUUAAGUUAUAUUAGACUAAGUGUUUUCAAAACACUAAGGGGCCGUAGGGCCAGUUUAUG
RNAcentral lists this transfer RNA (65 nucleotides) under Anchistrocephalus microcephalus. RNAcentral's name for it is "tRNA-Trp". Lineage: Eukaryota; Metazoa; Platyhelminthes; Cestoda; Bothriocephalidea; Triaenophoridae. The record is from RNAcentral.